UACGUAGGGUGCAAGCGUUGUCCGGAAUUAUUGGGCGUAAAGAGCUCGUAGGCGGUUUGUCGCGUCUGCUGUGAAAACGCGAGGCUCAACCUCGCGCCUGCAGUGGGUACGGGCAGACUAGAGUGCGGUAGGGGAGAUUGGAAUUCCUGGUGUAGCGGUGAAAUGCGCAGAUAUCAGGAGGAACACCGGUGGCGAAGGCGGUUCUCUGGGCAUUACCUGACGCUGAGGAGCGAAAGCGUGGGGAGCAAACAGG
Molecule: ribosomal RNA, 253 nt
Filed under: uncultured bacterium
Lineage: Bacteria
Description: partial 16S ribosomal RNA
Rfam family: Bacterial small subunit ribosomal RNA
Source: RNAcentral